This 351-nucleotide ribosomal RNA is filed under the name Phymata mystica. Its description in RNAcentral is "Phymata fasciata mystica partial 16S ribosomal RNA". The stretch from base 225 to 351 matches the Rfam family "Bacterial large subunit ribosomal RNA", at positions 2473 to 2600 of the family's 2925-position model. Lineage: Eukaryota; Metazoa; Arthropoda; Insecta; Hemiptera; Phymatidae. The record is from RNAcentral.
AAUUUUUAAGUCAAAAAGCUUAAAUUUUAUUAAGGGGCGAGAAGACCCUAUAGAACUUUAUUAAUUUAUUGGACCACAUAAUUUUUUUGUUUACUUUUGUGGUCCAUAUUUUUAAUUGUGUUGGGGUGACAUAGAAAUUUAAUUAACUUUCUUUUUUUAUAUUCAUUGAUUAGUGUAUUUUUAGAUCCAGGUUUAUCUUGAUUGUAAGUUUAAGUUACCUUAGGGAUAACAGCGUAAUUCUUUUGGAGAGUUCUAAUCGAUGAAAGAGUUUGCGACCUCGAUGUUGGAUUAAAAUUAGUGUUGGGAGUAGAAGAUCAAUUACUAGGUCUGUUCGACCUUUAAAUUUUUACA